GCUCGUGUGGUGUAGCCAGGUCCAUCAUUGCGGGUUUUCAUCCCNUCGACCCGGGUUCGAAUCCCGGCACGAGCACCA
RNAcentral lists this transfer RNA (78 nucleotides) under Methanobacteriota archaeon. Its description in RNAcentral is "Euryarchaeota archaeon tRNA-Glu". It matches the Rfam family "tRNA". From Rfam's summary of the family: Transfer RNA (tRNA) molecules are approximately 80 nucleotides in length. Their secondary structure includes four short double-helical elements and three loops (D, anti-codon, and T loops). Lineage: Archaea; Methanobacteriati; Methanobacteriota. The record is from RNAcentral.